Molecule: long non-coding RNA, 662 nt
Organism: Polistes dominula (European paper wasp)
Lineage: Eukaryota; Metazoa; Arthropoda; Insecta; Hymenoptera; Vespidae
Gene: wnd
Source: RefSeq, a predicted model, not a curated record
CAUUUUUUUCCUAUUUCUUUUUAACGAUUUUUAAUGAUUAACAAGUGAAAGAAUAAUGUAUCUGGAAGAAAAAAUUCAAAUAAAAGGAUCGUACCAACAAAUAGUAAAAUGUGACGUUUAAAAUUUGGACACAUAUCCCUAGCAGAAGUUCGUAAUAAUGAUACCAGACGGCGCCAUCGUUUCAUAUUUGGCGCGAUUUUUUCGCGACGAUCGAUGUGUAUCUGCGUAUUUUCUGUGUUAAAACUUCUACAUUACAAAGCGAGGGGAGUAGUCUUUAUUAAUUAUUUAUUCAAUAAGAAUAUGUUCACUUUUACUUGGGAUUGAUAUAAAUGAUAAAUAAAGCAAAACAAGAGGACUUAUACGAUGUUUAUAAAGACAACUUUUCAAAAAGCCAUCAAAGUUUUAUUGAGAAGAGAGAGGAUCAAUCCGUAUGCGGUGCGUCGCAUUGCGUUUUUAGAUUUUUGGAUGAAAUUGUAGGAGGAAUUGCUGCUAGUAGUAGAUAGGUUGGUUGUUCAUGGUGGGAGUUGUUCUUUGGGGUGGGCGUUGCUGGGUCGAUACAGGGUGGAUAUCGUCGUCAAUCGCAAGUAAAGCACCACAGGUUCGAACAAAUAAUAUUCUCCCGUUUUUAUCAUAUGUUAUUUAAUUUAUUUUCUUAAAUGUCA